CUACUCAUAAUGACGAGCCACGUUAGUUCGGUCGGUUAUAAGAAGCUCCCUUGCUUGAUUGAGUUUAUUAAUAUGAGAGUACUAUAAGAUAAUUUCAUUACGUUUCGUAAUAACUGCACAUCUACUCUUAUGACGAGCCACUUCAGUUCCGUCGGUUACAAGUUAAAUGAUUGUUGGAAUUUUUCAAGCUGUAAGGACAUGAUUGAUGCUUUCCAACUGUAAGAAAAUCUGCUAGCGUGCUUUCUUCCCAAACCCUAAGAACCUCCGAAUGUCCGGCUCCGACUGGACGCGUCCGACGGCGAUUCCUCGCCCCAACUCCGAUAUAUUCUUCUCCCUCCUUCCUCUAUCUUUAACAGCCCCUCAAUUUCUACCCCUAAAUCCGACUCCGUCACCUUGCCCCUCCACCUGCCCCUAUCGCCGGCUCACUACCCCGAUUCUCCACCACACCGUUUCUAUACUGCUAAUUUCCACCAAUCCAUCGUUCAUCCACUGCCAGGACAGAUUGACAGUAGUUGCUCUUCCAUCAACGAUCUUGCUGCAGAUCCAUUCCACCACCAACCCUCCACCAUUUUAGUUGAUCGCCUCCUGAUCUCCCAAUGAUUUGUCUCGACUCGGAUACAUAUCGUGGCCACUCGCCCCGGCCCGGGCGAAACCUCUGUUAUCUUCUUUGGUCACCGCCCCUUGUUUACCACCAAGAAAAGCUCUGGUUACCUGGACGAUCACCAUCAACGAUUUACCAACGGAGUCCGAUGGUACACACAUGUUUGAUGUUUUGUCCACUACCCUAGUGUCCACACCGAGGUGUCAUCGAUUUGGUUAGUUCGUGGAUAGUUAUUAUGUUCUAUAUUGCAUCGGGUCAGAUAUGUUUGGAAUCUAGUGGUGUGAUUCCUUGAUGUUUUUCAUGUUGUUUUAUGGUGUCAGUUUGUUUAAUAAGGCUAUAUAUGGAUCAAUAUGUGGUCUAUCAACCUCCUUCGGUCGAUAGUAAUGUCUUCGUUGGCUCCUUGGCUAGCUUAUGGCUGGCAGUGUUUUUGGCAGGCUCCAUGGCCGGCAGUGUCGGGCUGGCUUCGUGGUCAGCAGGGUAUUUAGCCAGGACUAAAAUCAGCAGUCUGGGGGGUCGUGAUGGCUAGUGGCUCAGUCGACGCCUCAAUGUAAAUUAAGUUCUCUCUUAAUAAUGUUUGCCAUUCCGACCCCAAAAAAAAUGGUUUUUUUU
Punica granatum (pomegranate) is the source of this 1210-nucleotide non-coding RNA. The record is from RefSeq and is a predicted model, not a curated record. NCBI's taxonomy places the organism in Eukaryota, Viridiplantae, Streptophyta, Magnoliopsida, Myrtales, Lythraceae.